CAAUAGCGUAUAUUAAAGUUGUUGCGGUUAAAAAGCUCGUAGUCGGAUUUCUGCUGAGAACGACCGGUCCGCCCUCUGGGUGUGUAUCUGGCUCUUUCUUGGCAUCUUCUUGGUGAACGUUGCUGCACUUGACUGUGUGGAGCGCUACCCAGGACUUUUACUUUGAGGAAAUUAGAGUGUUUCAAGCAGGCAUACGCCUUGAAUACAUUAGCAUGGAAUAAUAAGAUAGGACCUCGGUUCUAUUUUGUUGGUUUCUAGAGCUGAGGUAAUGAUUAAUAGGGAUAGUUGGGGGCAUUCGUAUUUAACUGUCAGAGGUGAGAUUCUUGGAUUUGUUAAAGACGGACUACUGCGAAANCANNNGCCAAGGAUGUUUUCAUNGA
This 380-nucleotide ribosomal RNA is filed under the name uncultured eukaryote. RNAcentral describes it as "partial 18S ribosomal RNA". It matches the Rfam family "Eukaryotic small subunit ribosomal RNA", at positions 592 to 976 of the family's 1831-position model. The record is from RNAcentral.